This 497-nucleotide ribosomal RNA is filed under the name uncultured bacterium. RNAcentral describes it as "partial 16S ribosomal RNA". It matches the Rfam family "Bacterial small subunit ribosomal RNA", at positions 28 to 507 of the family's 1533-position model. The record is from RNAcentral.
GACGAACGCUGGCGGCGUGCCUAAUACAUGCAAGUUGAGCGAUGAAGAUUGGUGCUUGCACCAAUUUGAAGAGCAGCGCACGGGUGAGUAACGCGUGGGGAAUCUGCCUUUGAGCGGGGUACAACAUUUGGAAACGAAUGCUAAUACCGCAUAAUAUCUUUAAGCAUAAGGUUGAAGUGUAAAAUAUGCAAUUUCAUGACUCAAACAUGGUUCCGCGUUGUAUUGGUUAGGUGGUGAGGUAAAGGCUCACCAAGGCGAUGAUACAUAGCCGACCUGAGAGGGUGAUUGGCCACACUGGGACGGAGACACGCCACAAACGCAUACGGGAGGCAGCCGUAGGGAAUCGUGGGCAAUGGGUGAAAGUUAGACCGAGCAACGCCGAGUGAGGGUACAAGGUCUUCGGAUCGUAAAUCUCGGUUGGUAGAGAAGAACGUUGGUGCGCGUGUAAAGCUCAUCAAGUGACGGUAACUGCCCAGAAAGGGACGGCUAACUACGUG